This 374-nucleotide ribosomal RNA is filed under the name uncultured organism. Its description in RNAcentral is "partial 16S ribosomal RNA". It matches the Rfam family "Bacterial small subunit ribosomal RNA", at positions 528 to 897 of the family's 1533-position model. The record is from RNAcentral.
GAGGUGGCAAGCGUUGUCCGGAAUUAUUGGGGCGUAAAGCGCGCGCAGGCGGUUCUUUAAGUCUGAUGUGAAAGCCCACGGGCUCAACCGUGGAGGGUCAUUGGAAACUGGAGAACUUGAGUACAGAAGAGGAAAGCGGAAUUCCACGUGUAGCGGUGAAAUGCGUAGAGAUGUGGAGGAACACCAGUGGCGAAGGCGGCUUUCUGGUCUGUAACUGACGCUGAGGCGCGAAAGCGUGGGGAGCAAACAGGAUUAGAUACCCUGGUAGUCCACGCCGUAAACGAUGAGUGCUAAGUGUUAGGGGGUUUCCGCCCCUUAGUGCUGCAGCUAACGCAUUAGGCACUCCGCCUGGGGAGUACGGCCGCAAAGGCUGA